GAGUUUGAUCCUGGCUCAGGAUGAACGCUGGCGGCGUGCUUAACACAUGCAAGUCGAACGAUGAUCCGGUGCUUGCACCGGGGAUUAGUGGCGAACGGGUGAGUAACACGUGGGUAACCUGCCCUCGAGCCUGGGAUACCCCCUCGAAAGGGGGGCUAAUACCGGAUACGUUCCUCGGAUCGAAAGUUCUGGGGAGGAAAGGUGGCGCAAGCUGCCGCUCUUGGAGGGGCUCGCGGCCUAUCAGCUAGUUGGCGGGGUAACGGCCCACCAAGGCUAUGACGGGUAGCUGGUCUGAGAGGACGACCAGCCACACGGGAACUGAGACACGGUCCCGACACCUACGGGUGGCAGCAGUUUCGAAUCAUUCACAAUGGGCGAAAGCCUGAUGGUGCGACGCCGCGUGAGGGAUGAAAGGUCUUUCAGUGGAAAU
RNAcentral lists this ribosomal RNA (430 nucleotides) under uncultured Arthrobacter sp. Its description in RNAcentral is "bacterial SSU rRNA". It matches the Rfam family "Bacterial small subunit ribosomal RNA", at positions 9 to 430 of the family's 1533-position model. Lineage: Bacteria; Bacillati; Actinomycetota; Actinomycetes; Micrococcales; Micrococcaceae. The record is from RNAcentral.